This is a long non-coding RNA of Sinocyclocheilus anshuiensis, 85 nucleotides long. RefSeq lists it as uncharacterized. The transcript has 3 exons. NCBI's taxonomy places the organism in Eukaryota, Metazoa, Chordata, Actinopteri, Cypriniformes, Cyprinidae. The record is from RefSeq and is a predicted model, not a curated record.
UUCAAGUCAAGGGGCCAGUUGCAUAAAAGCUUUAGACUAGUCUUAAAAGUUAGUCAUCUAAUUGUUUUCUAUAAGACUGGCCAUA